CAUUCACGGGACGGGGUCAGGUACCAGAACAUACCGGGACGGGGUCAGGUACCAGAACAUACACGGGACGGGGUCAGGUACCAGAACAUAUACGGGACGGGGUCAGGUACCAGAACAUAUACGGGACGGGGUCAGGUACCAGAACAUACACGGGACGGGGUCAGGUACCAGAACAUACACGGGACGGGG
Non-coding RNA from Salvelinus sp. IW2-2015, 189 nucleotides. The record is from RefSeq and is a predicted model, not a curated record. Lineage: Eukaryota; Metazoa; Chordata; Actinopteri; Salmoniformes; Salmonidae.